This 134-nucleotide small RNA is filed under the name Asanoa hainanensis. Its description in RNAcentral is "c-di-AMP sequence". It matches the Rfam family "c-di-AMP riboswitch aptamer (ydaO/yuaA leader)". Rfam says of the family: This family represents a conserved RNA structure found upstream of the ydaO and yuaA genes in Bacillus subtilis and related genes in other bacteria. The ydaO/yuaA element is thought to act as a genetic "off" switch for the ydaO and yuaA genes in its native state. The record is from RNAcentral. Lineage: Bacteria; Bacillati; Actinomycetota; Actinomycetes; Micromonosporales; Micromonosporaceae.
GCGCCGCUGCUGCCUAAUCGCCGAGAGGCGAGCCGGGGACCCGUGUUCCAUGGGGUGAGUCCGCGAAAGCGGUAGGGGUUGUUCCGUCCCGAACCCGUCAGCUAACCCGGUAGGCGGCCCUACCGAAGGAACGU